AGUGGCCCUUAUUGAAGCUGCUGUGGUCAAAAAGGAACCCAGAGUGACAACUUUCCUUGAUGGUCACUGAUGGCUUUCGUUCAGUUUCUAGUAACUGAUUGCAGCAUUUCAGGAGAAGACAGGU
Molecule: small nucleolar RNA, 124 nt
Organism: Sorex araneus (European shrew)
Lineage: Eukaryota; Metazoa; Chordata; Mammalia; Eulipotyphla; Soricidae
Source: Ensembl